UUCGGCUUUUCGUCGACAUAUCUGUCCCAAGGAAUGUCGGUGCCUGUGUAUCUGAGGUGGAGCAUGCACGGGUAUACAAUGUCGACGACUUGAAAGAGGUGGUGGAAGCCAAUAAGGAAGACCGUGUCAGGAAAGCAAUGGAGGCCCAAACAAUCAUUACCCAAGAGCUGAAACGGUUCGAGGCUUGGAGGGACUCACUGGAGACGGUUCCGACCAUCAAAAAGCUGAGGUCGUACGCCGACAGGAUCAGGGCAUCUGAGCUCGAGAAGUGCCUGCAGAAGAUCGGGGAAGACAAUCUCAACAAGAAGAUGAGAAGGUCCAUCGAGGAGCUGAGCACGGGUAUAGUGAACAAGCUCCUUCACGGCCCACUGCAGCACCUGAGAUGCGACGGCAGCGACAGCCGCACCCUGGACGAAACGCUGGAGAACAUGCACGCCCUCAACAGAAUGUUCAACCUCGACACGGAGAAGGCGGUCCUUGAGCAGAAGAUCAAGGCCAAGGUAGAGAAGACCCAAAGCUGAGACCGGGAGACACUUGUCCGUCUGUAUAUCUACUUAAUACUGCUCCCAGAAUGUCGCUACAUUCUAAUCCCAAUAUUUUUUUUGAUCCUCCACUUGCUGCUGAGUUCUUCUUGUGCCGUGAAUUAGCCAUGGCAGCCCCCAAAUGUGUUGUAGAGAGGAGCAGGGAAGCAUGUUUGCUCCAAAACUGCCUGUGUACAUUAAUUACUGUGGCUGCUGUGGUUAGAGCCCAAUUUUCAAGCUGUACUAUAAUACUGUACUCUAUUGGACGAAAUAAAGAGGAAUAUAUCAGUGUGUUAAUGGAUGCAUUCGUUUUAUAUACUUGCAUUAGCUCCUGCAUUCGAAAUGUUGAGCAUUAAUAAGAUUUCC
Molecule: long non-coding RNA, 887 nt
Filed under: Triticum aestivum (bread wheat)
Lineage: Eukaryota; Viridiplantae; Streptophyta; Magnoliopsida; Poales; Poaceae
Description: long non-coding RNA (TAES_LNC005093)
Source: RNAcentral